GUAUUUGCCUGACUAUCUUCUAGGCUGGGUGAAGAUCAAAUGAGAUAAACGCCCACCUGGUCCGCGCUGGUUGUGUCUCUUUGAUUUGGGGACACGCCUAACACUGUUUCCGGGAGCGACUUUAGGAUCCUAGUCAGAAGGGCAGGCACGGCAGGCCUGUGGCGCAGGUGGCUGUCCCAGCCUCAGGAAUGUGCCGAGUAAUUUUCUUUUAAAUAUUAUUACUCAAAUGGCAACAGACAAUUUCAGGGCUCUGGCGGAGAAUCUGAGGACCGCGGAGACGCAAGCCCGACCGGGCAACCCCUGGGGCCUCCAGGCCGGAGAGGGGACCGCCUCUGGGAGCCAGGAGUCCCGGCCGGGGACCGGGUGACUCGGGGCGCUCGGGCUGCUCCGGGGGCCUGGAGGCGCGAGGCCCCGGGCCGCAGCGCAGCCCCAGCCCGGCCCGCCAGCAGGUGGCGCUGUGCGCGGUCCUCAGACGCUGCGCGCCCAGGCGUGGUACACCGCGAGCAGUCCGACCCCAGGCCCGGCGCGGCCCAGACAGUGUUCCCAGGGGCUCCCGCCGGCGGCACGGCAGUGAUUCCCCAGGCCCACCCCGUCCGGCCGGAGGUACUGAUGGAAACCAAGGGAUAAGCAUUUGGAACAGUCUAGAGAGCCUUGGAAGCUGCGUGGGCCGGGAAGAGAAUCAGCAUCACUGUGGAGUGAGGGGCCUCUGCCAGCCAAUCGUGCUGACAUGAAAACACACAAAACCGCCAUCCACAGAUGUGCACACACGCACGCCUCGCCAACACAGCUUCAGCUCAUUUGCAAAACCCAAAGCUGCUUGCAGGUGAGCUGGUGAACGAGAAGCAGGAAGAGGAAGCUCUUGAGGAAACAGUCAGCUCCGCCCCUGCGAGAAUGAGGCCGAACCCAAACCGCAGUGGAAAUGUCAGCACUGAGGAGGCGCAUCGCGGCUUGGCUUGUGGUGGACCCACUGCAUUUAUUGUAACUGGGUAACCCGAGUCUGUCCUGUCCCCAGUCCCCAGCACCACUGCCCCAUUCUAACAGGGUCAGCCAAGUUAAUUCUGCUAUGGAAAAGUGAAAGGAAAAGAGACACCAUAUUAAAGAAUCUUACCACAGUGAUAUAUGCACACCCAUGUUCAUAGCGGCACAGUGCAUAAUAGCUAAAGCUUGGAAACAGCCCAAGUGCCCGUCAACUGGAAACUAGAUAAAGAAGAUGUGGGUUUUUUUAUAAAAUGGAGUACUACUCAGCCAAAGGAAUGAGAAACUAGAGGCAUUUUAUAGCUAAAUGGAUGCAUAUUGAGGCCAUCCUCUUAAGUGAAAUAAAUAGGACACACACACGUGUAAAUACCGAAUCGUUUCUCUAGUGUGAGAAACUGAAACUGUAAUUAAGGAUUAAAAUGCUUAAAAUGAAUAAUGGAUAAUUUGAAAUAAGAAGAAAAGGUCCAAAGGGGUUGGGGAAGUAGGAGGGGUAAGGGAAAGGAAAAAUGAGAAAUGGAAAAAAUGGAAACAAAGUCUUUGUAAAUAGGGAAGGGUGGAGGGGUGCAGGGAGGACAGGGAAUGGGGAAAAAAUAAGAACCAAGAUGCAUCAUGCACAGGUACAAGCACCCAAUGAUAAAUGUAAAUGUAUUGUAUACCUAAAAUGUAC
Molecule: long non-coding RNA, 1642 nt
Organism: Heterocephalus glaber (naked mole-rat)
Lineage: Eukaryota; Metazoa; Chordata; Mammalia; Rodentia; Bathyergidae
Source: Ensembl